CACCUACGGGAGGCAGCAGUGGGGAAUCUUGGACAAUGGGCGCAAGCCUGACGCAGCCAUGCCGCGUGAAUGAUGAAGGUCUUAGGAUUGUAAAAUUCUUUCACCGGGGACGAUAAUGACGGUACCCGGAGAAGAAGCUCCGGCUAACUUCGUGCCAGCAGCCGCGGUAAUACGAAGGGGGCUAGCGUUGCUCGGAAUUACUGGGCGUAAAGGGCGCGUAGGCGGACAGUUUAGUCAGAGGUGAAAGCCCAGGGCUCAACCUUGGAAUAGCCUUUGAUACUGGCUGUCUUGAGUACGGGAGAGGUGUGUGGAACUCCGAGUGUAGAGGUGAAAUUCGUAGAUAUUCGGAAGAACACCAGUGGCGAAGGCGACACACUGGCCCGUUACUGACGCUGAGGCGCGAAAGCGUGGGGAGCAAACAGGAUUAGAUACCCUUGUAGUCUCC
This 445-nucleotide ribosomal RNA is filed under the name uncultured Caulobacteraceae bacterium. Its description in RNAcentral is "bacterial SSU rRNA". It matches the Rfam family "Bacterial small subunit ribosomal RNA", at positions 335 to 798 of the family's 1533-position model. The record is from RNAcentral. Lineage: Bacteria; Pseudomonadati; Pseudomonadota; Alphaproteobacteria; Caulobacterales; Caulobacteraceae.